Molecule: ribosomal RNA, 406 nt
Filed under: uncultured bacterium
Lineage: Bacteria
Description: partial 16S ribosomal RNA
Rfam family: Bacterial small subunit ribosomal RNA
Source: RNAcentral
AUUGAACGCUGGCGGCAGGCCUAACACAUGCAAGUCGAACGAGUGGCGGACGGGUGAGUAAUGUCUGGGAAACUGCCCGAUGGAGGGGGAUAACUACUGGAAACGGUAGCUAAUACCGCAUACCAUCGGAUGUGCCCAGAGGGGAUUAGCUUGUAGGUGAGGUAACGGCUCACCUAGGCGACGCUCCCUAGCUGGUCUGAGAGGAUGACCAGCCACAAUGGAACAGAGACACGGGCCGUGCUCCUACGGGAGGCAUCAGGGGGGAAUAGUGCACAAUGGGCGGAGGCCGGAUGCAGCCAGGCGGCGUGUAUGAAGAAGGCCUUCGGGUUGUAAAGUACUUUCAGCGGGGAGGCGUUACCCGCAGAAGAAGCACCGGCUAACUCCGUGCCAGCAGCCGCGGUAAUAC